RNAcentral lists this ribosomal RNA (429 nucleotides) under Actinomycetes bacterium. Its description in RNAcentral is "Actinobacteria bacterium partial 16S ribosomal RNA". It matches the Rfam family "Bacterial small subunit ribosomal RNA", at positions 355 to 776 of the family's 1533-position model. The record is from RNAcentral. Lineage: Bacteria; Bacillati; Actinomycetota; Actinomycetes.
UAGGGAAUCUUCCGCAAUGGGCGAAAGCCUGACGGAGCAACGCCGCGUGAGUGAUGAAGGUCUUCGGAUCGUAAAACUCUGUUAUUAGGGAAGAACAAAUGUGUAAGUAACUAUGCACGUCUUGACGGUACCUAAUCAGAAAGCCACGGCUAACUACGUGCCAGCAGCCGCGGUAAUACGUAGGUGGCAAGCGUUAUCCGGAAUUAUUGGGCGUAAAGCGCGCGUAGGCGGUUUUUUAAGUCUGAUGUGAAAGCCCACGGCUCAACCGUGGAGGGUCAUAGGAAACUGGAAAACUUGAGUGCAAAAGAGAAAAGUGGAAUUCCAUGUGUAGCGGUGAAAUGCGCAGAGAUAUGGAGGAACACCAGUGGCGAAGGCGACUUUCUGGUCAGUAACUGACGCUAAUGUGCGAAAGCGUGGGGAUCAAACAGG